AUGUCGUGGGGGAUAACGUAGCGAAAGCUACGCUAAUAGCGCAUACGCCCUGAGGGGGAAAGCGGGGGAUUCUUCGGAACCUCGCGCGAUUGGAGCGGCCGAUGUCGGAUUAGCUAGUAGGUGAGGUAAAGGCUCACCUAGGCGACGAUCCGUAGCGGGUCUGAGAGGAUGAUCCGCCACACUGGGACUGAGACACGGCCCAGACUCCUAAGGGAGGCAGCAGUGGGGAAUUUUGGACAAUGGGCGCAAGCCUGAUCCAGCCAUGCCGCGUGAGUGAAGAAGGCCUUCGGGUUGUAAAGCUCUUUCGGCCGGGAAGAAAUCGUGGUCUCUAACAUAGGCCAUGGAUGACGGUACCGGACUAAGAAGCACCGGCUAACUACGUGCCAGCAGCCGCGGUAAUACGUAGGGUGCGAGCGUUAAUCGGAAUUACUGGGCGUAAAGCGUGCGCAGGCGGUUUUGUAAGACAGAUGUGAAAUCCCCGGGCUUAACCUGGGAACUGCGUUUGUGACUGCAAGGCUAGAGUACGGCAGAGGGGGGUGGAAUUCCUGGUGUAGCAGUGAAAUGCGUAGAGAUCAGGAGGAACACCGAUGGCGAAGGCAGCCCCCUGGGCCUGUACUGACGCUCAUGCACGAAAGCGUGGGGAGCAAACAGGAUUAGAUACCCUGGUAGUCCACGCCCUAAACGAUGUCGACUAGUCGUUCGGAGCAGCAAUGCACUGAGUGACGCAGCUAACGCGUGAAGUCGACCGCCUGGGGAGUACGGCCGCAAGGUUAAAACUCAAAGGAAUUGACGGGGACCCGCACAAGCGGUGGAUGAUGUGGAUUAAUUCGAUGCAACGCGAAAAACCUUACCUACCCUUGACA
Molecule: ribosomal RNA, 863 nt
Filed under: uncultured Thauera sp.
Lineage: Bacteria; Pseudomonadati; Pseudomonadota; Betaproteobacteria; Rhodocyclales; Zoogloeaceae
Description: bacterial SSU rRNA
Rfam family: Bacterial small subunit ribosomal RNA
Source: RNAcentral